GACGAACGCUGGCGGCGUGCCUAAUACAUGCAAGUAGAACGCACAGUUUAUACCGUAGCUUGCUCCACCAUAGACUGUGAGUUGCGAACGGGUGAGUAACGCGUAGGUAACCUGCCUGGUAGCGGGGGAUAACUAUUGGAAACGAUAGCUAAUACCGCAUAAUAUUAAUUAUUGCAUGAUAAUUAAUUGAAAGGUGCAAUUGCACCACUACCAGAUGGACCUGCGUUGUAUUAGCUAGUAGGUGAGGUAACGGCUCACCUAGGCGACGAUACAUAGCCGACCUGAGAGGGUGGUCGGCCACACUUGGAAUGAGACACGGCCCCGACUCCUACGGGAGGCAGCAGUAGGGAAUCUUCGGCAAUGGACGAAAGUCUGACCGAGCAACGCCGCGUGAGUGAAGAAGGUUUUCGGAUCGUAAAGAUCUGUUGUAAGAGAAGAACGGGUGUGAGAGUGGAAAGUUCACACUGUGACGGUAUCUUACCAGAAAGGGACGGCUAACUACGUG
This 505-nucleotide ribosomal RNA is filed under the name uncultured bacterium. Its description in RNAcentral is "partial 16S ribosomal RNA". It matches the Rfam family "Bacterial small subunit ribosomal RNA", at positions 28 to 507 of the family's 1533-position model. The record is from RNAcentral.